Molecule: unclassified non-coding RNA, 401 nt
Filed under: Hevea brasiliensis (rubber tree)
Lineage: Eukaryota; Viridiplantae; Streptophyta; Magnoliopsida; Malpighiales; Euphorbiaceae
Source: RNAcentral
AACCGCUCCAUGACCGAUGAGGCGACUGAAAAACCAUCUACACCUUACGAUUUUGGUGCUGGGAAUCUUAAUCUUGAUCGUGCAAUGGAUCCUGGACUUGUGUAUGACAUUACUAACAAUGAUUACGUGAACUUCCUGUGUGGAAUUGGAUACAGCCCUAAAGCCAUUCAGGUGAUCACGCGAUCACCAGUAACUUGUCCGGCGAAGAGGCCUUUACCUGAAAACCUCAACUAUCCGUCAAUUACAGCAUUGUUUCCAAGCUUAUCAGUUGGAGCAACAAGCAUGGCGUUUAUCAGAACUGUGACCAAUGUGGGUCAGCCAAACGCGGUUUAUCAGCCAACAAUUGAAGCUCCAAAAGGGACAGCAGUGGCCGUGAAACCAGCGAGAUUGGUGUUCAAUCA